Molecule: ribosomal RNA, 320 nt
Filed under: uncultured myxomycete
Lineage: Eukaryota; Evosea; Eumycetozoa
Description: SSU rRNA
Rfam family: Eukaryotic small subunit ribosomal RNA
Source: RNAcentral
UCUGAAUCUUGCGAACGGCUCCGCAAACCAGUUGUAAACCACAGCAAGGCUGAGCCGGCGAAACCCUCGGGCGGUAGCCGGCACUAUAUGGAUAACCCUGGUAAUUCUGAGGCUAAUACAUGACAAACCGAACCGUCUUCGGCCUCGCGCUGGGGGCGGGAACGUGCGACCGUAUAAGCUGGGUUUUUUCGCGAAUGAACGCACGUCCAGACCGCCGUUGAGUGGGUCAGGCUUCGGUCUGGCCCUGGCGGCCCUUGCAACGGGCUUCUGACCUAUCAACUAUACAGCAGCGUAAGGGACAUGCUAUGGUGACAACGGUA